UGUUUGGUGCUCAUCCCUAAUUUGAUGUGUACAGAAAGUUGAAUAUUGAUCUGACUUUAAGUUGUUUCCAACAGCUGUGGGAUUGGCCAGUUAUGUGGAGACGCUUUUACGGAAACCCAACACUGAAUUUAAUCUAAAACUACCCUAUCAAAUUGUGGCUAUUGUUUCCGGUGCUUUGAAUGAUACAGCUGCAAAGAAGUAUGAUUUGGAAGGAUGGUUUCCUGCAUCCAGCACUUACAGAGAACUUGUUUCCUGUUCAAACUGCACUGACUAUCAGUCCAGGAGAUUAGAGAUUCGAUAUGGGUAGAAAAAGGGUAGACUAGCAGUUAUAUUUUUGGAUACAAUAGUAGUUAUAUUUUUGGAUGGGUGUGUAUAGAAAAUAUUUAGUAGACUACUAGUUAUAUUUUUCGGUUGAUGUACAUGGAUAAAAAUUUUAAACAUAAUAACAAGUAUUUGUUAUGUCUUAAAUUUUUAUGUUAGAUGAAAUAUGUAGUUUGGAAUUAUUUGUGGAUGAAAACUUAUAAUAGUUGCUAAUUUUAAUUA
This is a non-coding RNA of Camellia sinensis, 543 nucleotides long. Lineage: Eukaryota; Viridiplantae; Streptophyta; Magnoliopsida; Ericales; Theaceae. The record is from RefSeq and is a predicted model, not a curated record.